Molecule: long non-coding RNA, 1313 nt
Organism: Canis lupus familiaris (dog)
Lineage: Eukaryota; Metazoa; Chordata; Mammalia; Carnivora; Canidae
Exons: 2
Source: RefSeq, a predicted model, not a curated record
AACUUCCGCCGUAGCCGCCGCCGGAACUUCCGCCGCCGCGCCCGCCGCCGUAGCCGCCGCCGCCGGAACUACCAGGAAUGAGAGGCAUGCUCGGUUAGCUUGAACGUUGGGAACUGGUGGGUCGCUUUCCACGUUAUUGUUACUUUGAAAGUAAGCAAAACGUGUUUCGAGAGGAAAAAAGAGAAAAGAAAAGGAAAAAUACCCUGCCAAGUAUAGAUUCUAAAACCCAUUGCUAACGCCGGUCUGAUAAGCACACAACCCUAGGAAUCCCAGUUCAUGGGCAGUUGAAGCUGUGGUUGCACACGCCUUUUUUUCUGUGCUCUGCUUUGGCAGCGCUUCUUGGGGUUUUGGAAAAGCCUGGAGAUUUAGGGCAUUGCAUAAAACCAGCUGGGAGAGCUGAUAGUUCACCUUCCUUCUCCUUCUAGCAGGCUGCGGUAGGUUUGAAUUUCAUUCUCCAAUCGGAUCUUGAUAUCCAGGAGUUGUUGGUACUCGGCAUUCUGGCACUCCGUCUCAGCUCGGAUCUGUUGCAGUUGUUCCUCCAGAGAGGAGAUCUGGGCCUGAAUCUGUGAGAGCUGCACGCAGUAGCGACCUUCUGUUUCUGCCAAGGAGCCUUCCAGGGAUUGUUUCUGCAAAGAGCCGAGAAUAUAGGGUGGCUGCGUGACUUCACUGUGUGACUGAAUACACUGAAGGUUAUUUCCUGAUUUAAUAAGACAUCAGAAGAUUAAAGAAAAUGAAUAGGAUUUGUGUUUUGUGUAUUUUUGAAAAAGGUUUUAUUGGCACAUGAGAGACACAGAGACACAGGCAGAGGGAGAAGCAGGCUCUUGGAGGAGAGCCCAAUGCGAAAUUUGAUCCUAAGACCCUGGGACCAGGACCUGAGCCCAAAUGCAGACGCUUAACCACUGAGCCACCCAGGAUCCCAGGAUGUCUCAGGACAGCAAUAUCUUGGGCCAAGAAAAUCACCAGGUUGGGGGAGUGUGACAAACUUCCCGUUUUGAGGGUUUCUUUAUGUUAUAUGCCUGAUUUUCAGAAUCCCUAGGGCAAUAUCUGCUCUCUUGAGAAUUGAUCUCUUUUUACUUUUCACCAGUGGCAUUUAAUGAGUAGUAAGCUACUGAGUGAGGAUUCAGUCUCCCAGGAAACGUGUGAAAUUAGAACACUUACCUUUCUCCUCUUCAAUGUGUAUCUGAUCAUCUGGAAUUGUGAUUUUGCAUCUUUUAAAGAAAAGAAAAAGAAACAUGAAAAGAUGUUAUUGCCAUUUUGAAAAUGAAGGCCUGUUCUGCUUUUUUUUUGUUUCAAAAUAAAGUCUGCAUAGUGUG